GAUGAAGAACGCAGCGAAAUGCGAUAAGUAAUGUGAAUUGCAGAAUUCAGUGAAUCAUCGAAUCUUUGAACGCACAUUGCGCCCGCCAGUAUUCUGGCGGGCAUGCCUGUCUGAGCGUCAUUUCAACCCUCAUGCCCCUAGGGCGUGGUGUUGGGGAUCGGCCAAAGCCCGCGAGGGACGGCCGGCCCCUAAAUCUAGUGGCGGACCCGUCGUGGCCUCCUCUGCGCAGUAGUGAUAUUCCGCAUCGGAGAGCGAUGAGCCCCUGCCGUUAAACCCCCAACUUUCCAAGGUUGACCUCAGAUCAGGUAGGAAUACCCGCUGAACUUAAGCAUAUCAAUAAGCGGAGGA
RNAcentral lists this unclassified non-coding RNA (348 nucleotides) under soil metagenome. RNAcentral's name for it is "partial contains 5.8S ribosomal RNA, internal transcribed spacer 2, and large subunit ribosomal RNA". The stretch from base 1 to 120 matches the Rfam family "5.8S ribosomal RNA", at positions 35 to 154 of the family's 154-position model. The record is from RNAcentral.